UCUUAUCAAGAGAGACUGAGGGACUGGCCCAAAGACGUCUCAGCAACCGACCUACUAGUAGGUAAAGGUGCUAAUUCCAGCUAGAUAAG
RNAcentral lists this non-coding RNA (89 nucleotides) under Massilibacterium senegalense. RNAcentral's name for it is "SAM riboswitch (S box leader)". It matches the Rfam family "SAM riboswitch aptamer (S box leader)". From Rfam's summary of the family: The SAM riboswitch is found upstream of a number of genes which code for proteins involved in methionine or cysteine biosynthesis in Gram-positive bacteria. The SAM riboswitch acts at the level of transcription termination control. The predicted structure consists of a complex stem-loop region followed by a single stem loop terminator region. Lineage: Bacteria; Bacillati; Bacillota; Bacilli; Caryophanales; Bacillaceae. The record is from RNAcentral.